GCGAAGUCUCGGGCUCGAGAGGAGAGGUCCGCGUUAAGUGGCCGGCCAGUGGCGGGCUACUGAAGAAGAACGUCGGGCAGGGAUCCCCUCCUGCCGCAGCGGAGGUUGGAAGACUGGGCAAGAAAACAUGGUUUGGGGGCCGGACUCGGAAGCAAAGGUGAUAGGGACACAGGGAGAGGCUGAGGGAGAAGAUUGUGGCUUGAGAGUAAGGAGAGACUGAAACUGCCUUGUAAACCGCAGGGCAGGUGCUGAGGGUCGUGGUGGUGGGCUCAUACUCUGGGGAUUGGGGAAGCACUCGGGUCAGAAAGGAGACUUUGAGGUGAGAAGGGAGUCAGCUGAAUAGAAAGAAGACAGAAAUCGGAAUCAGGCUACCCCAGAACAGAAUGGUCUUCCCUUCUAACUUGUAACCCUUUCCUAAGGCUUGGGCUGGGCUCAGAGCAUCCUAUACCCAAUGCAGUGGAGUUAAUACUAGCCACUGCUCUAACAGAUGGAGGGGCUGUCCCUUUCCUAAACCUCUUUCAACUUGGUUAUUUCCUCCUUUUCCUAUUUCUUCUUGUUGUUGUUGUUGCUGUUUUUAUUUCUUUGUUGUUCCUUUCUAGGUAGAGGGAGGCAUAGUUUUUGGCAAUAGCCAGCCAAGGAUACAGGGAACAGGUGCAGCGCCUGCACGCUGACUUCACGUGGUGGAUGCCUGGCUGAGAGAGAAGUAGGAAACCCUAACAACGCUUCUUCCAGCUUUGAUCUGCCUGGGGGAGCCCGUGGUGGAAGAUGACUCUGUAGCCCUGGUGUCUCCCAGCAUCCGGAGUGGGAGCCCCAAGAGCCAUGUAGACAGGCACCCAGCACUGUGCCAGCUAUGUGGGAGUUGGCUGGCUCUGGGGACGAGCUGUUGGCAGUGCAGGUGGCUGGCGACAAGGAUGGAGUGUGAGGCCUCGAGACAGGUUGGCAGGUAGCACAGAAGCCUCGGCACUCAGCAGAGCUGCGGUCCUGGCUGCUCUGAGGAUGGAGACCACAGGAGGACUUGGAAUCCUCUGGGAAUGGAGUUACAGCUGGUUGAGAGCCACGUGAGUGCUGGCAAUCAACCUUGGAACCUCUGGAAAGAGCAGCGAGUCAACCACGACCCAUCGACCCAUCGCUCGAGCCCCAUGUGGAGCACUGCUCAAGUCUGUUAACAUCACUGGGCCUGGUGGCAACGCAUAUCAGUCCUGCCUCAGCCCCCUGAAUGCAUGGUUACAGGUGUGCACCAUAGCACCUGACUCAAGUUUUAAACGUUCAUUUUGAGCACGCCUUCUCAUGAUCAUUUCCCUGUAAAUCAGCAGAGACACUGGGGAAUGGCUGCUGGAGUCUCCUUUACUGCCCCAUCUGUCUUGAACAAUACUAGGCUCUGUCUGUUCUUGUCUGCUUUUAGAGUGGGCUGAGCUGGUAACAUAAAGGAGCAACAGCUGAGUGGCGGUGAUGAAGCCUUUAAUCCCAACCCUC
This is a non-coding RNA of Mus caroli (Ryukyu mouse), 1473 nucleotides long. The record is from RefSeq and is a predicted model, not a curated record. Lineage: Eukaryota; Metazoa; Chordata; Mammalia; Rodentia; Muridae.